Molecule: long non-coding RNA, 397 nt
Organism: Tympanuchus pallidicinctus (lesser prairie-chicken)
Lineage: Eukaryota; Metazoa; Chordata; Aves; Galliformes; Phasianidae
Exons: 3
Source: RefSeq, a predicted model, not a curated record
GUUUUUGGCACGCUGACCUGGCAGCCCACAGCCCACAGGGAAGCACAGCAGCUAUCAGUGCAAAGCGGCAGGGACCAAGCGGCCUCGCCGGACCCAGCUUCAAACACAGCACAGGGCUCAGCGUGGGGCUUAGGGAAAAUGCUCUUACGAGAUGAAGAUAUUUGCACUGAAUGGAUGGAAUGGUUUGGUUUCUGAAUGUCUUUCUCAUCUUUGUGGGGUAGAUGUGUGUACAGGCAUGCAUCCCCAUGGGUAGAUGAAGACCUCGCUUGGUGUUUUGGGGAGAUAGUGUCCUGGGAUGGAAAAUCUGAUAGAGCCAGGCUUGGGAGAUCCUAGGAGGAGCUGGAGAGACCAACUGUGAGGCUCAGGUGGUAUCCAAAGCACCCCCGGUGCAAGUGGC